CAGCUCGGGUUUCUCUUCAUUCACGCACAAAUCUUUUGCCUUUUCCUAAAGAUUUCCAUGGAGGGGAACGUUGACGAGUUCUUAUUUUUGAAGGUUUUGCUGGCAGAGCU
Small nuclear RNA from Pygocentrus nattereri (red-bellied piranha), 110 nucleotides. Its record names the gene U5. It matches the Rfam family "U5 spliceosomal RNA". Rfam says of the family: U5 RNA is a component of both types of known spliceosome. Lineage: Eukaryota; Metazoa; Chordata; Actinopteri; Characiformes; Serrasalmidae. The record is from Ensembl.